Molecule: long non-coding RNA, 384 nt
Filed under: Brassica rapa (field mustard)
Lineage: Eukaryota; Viridiplantae; Streptophyta; Magnoliopsida; Brassicales; Brassicaceae
Description: long non-coding RNA (BRAP_LNC002870)
Source: RNAcentral
AAACGUCUCUUUAGAUUACUCGACCAUAUAUGGGACCCAGCAGGAGGCUAAAAUAAAAGAGCAGAUUAGAUUAAAGGAAAAAAAUAAUAGAAUAGAGGCUUCGAACCACGGAUAGUUGAAUGAUGACAGGGAAGUGAAGCCACUGAACUAGUUCAAGCUAUUACGUUCCAACUAAUACUGAACAAUAUAUAUUUAGUCGGGGGCACGUGCCCCCGUACCUGACAAGGUGCAUCCGCCCCUUGCAAGUUGUCUUGAUAAGACUUACUUCCCCUAAUAUGUUUGCAAAGAGACAGUAACGUGGGAACCUUUUGGAGAGGUUUUAAUUAAUUUAAGAAAAUGGGGGAAUUAAGAGAUAGACCUUUGCAGCUCAGAAUUUGUUUUUUG